UUGAAUUUCGGGGUUAGUAGGUUGGUCAUGCCUCUGGUAUGUACUGGUCUCACUGAUUCCUCCUUCCUGAUGAACCUUAACNUAGCCUUAAUUNNAGGUUGUUUUGGGGGUUUUAGGACGUGUUACUUUUCAAAAAUUAAAGUGUUUAAAGGUUACAAGACUAACGACUUGAAUACAUUAGCAUGAGUAAUGAAUAGACGCUCGAUCCUAUUUUGUUGGUUUCUAGGAUUGACGUAAUGAUUAAUAGGGAUAGUUGGGGGCAUUAGUAUUCAAUUGUCAGAGGUGAAAUUCUUGGAUUUAUUGAAGACUAACUACUGCGAAAGCAUUUGCCAAGGAUGUUUUCAUUAAUCAAGAACGAAAGUUAGGGGAUCGAAGACGAUCAGAUACCGUCGUAGUCUUAACCAUAAACUAUGCCGACUAGGGAUCGGAUGAUGUUAAUUUUUAAUGUCUC
RNAcentral lists this ribosomal RNA (451 nucleotides) under fungal sp. RNAcentral describes it as "SSU rRNA". It matches the Rfam family "Eukaryotic small subunit ribosomal RNA", at positions 634 to 1077 of the family's 1831-position model. Lineage: Eukaryota; Fungi. The record is from RNAcentral.